RNAcentral lists this ribosomal RNA (400 nucleotides) under uncultured bacterium. Its description in RNAcentral is "bacterial SSU rRNA". It matches the Rfam family "Bacterial small subunit ribosomal RNA", at positions 355 to 747 of the family's 1533-position model. The record is from RNAcentral.
UGGGGAAUUUUGGACAAUGGGCGCAAGCCUGAUCCAGCAAUGCCGCGUGAGUGAAGAAGGCCUUCGGGUUGUAAAGCUCUUUCAGUUGAAAAGAAAAGAUCGUGACUAAUAAUCAUGAUUUAUGACGGUAUCAACAGAAGAAGCACCGGCUAACUACGUGCCAGCAGCCGCGGUAAUACGUAGGGUGCAAGCGUUAAUCGGAAUUACUGGGCGUAAAGGGUGCGCAGGCGGUUCUGUAAGUCAGAUGUGAAAUCCCCGGGCUUAACCUGGGAACUGCGUUUGAAACUGCAGAGCUAGAGUGCGGCAGAGGGAGGUGGAAUUCCAUGUGUAGCAGUGAAAUGCGUAGAGAUAUGGAAGAACAUCGAUGGCGAAGGCAACCUCCUGGGCUAGCACUGACGCU